CAGGCACAUCUUCCAGGGCUGGACCAGGAGGUAGAGAGCAAGUGGGGAGGUGCCACACACUUUUAAACAACAUGCUUAGCUUCAUUCUCCAACCCAUUCAUCACAAAUCUUUUGGCAAUGAAAAAAAACAUUCAUUUUUUAAAAAUGAGAAUUUAAAGUAGUGAAUCCACAAAACACAGCUUUUCAUUUUUAAACUAGUGAAAGAUACAUACAUAGGUUUGUUCGUUUAUGCUAGACAGAGGAGAGAAAGAGAAAGGUAAUAUUCACCUAUUAGUCGCCAAGUGCAAUUAUGGUGUAAGUACUGCUAAAAAGCCCACUAUCUGCAGUCAGAAUCAAGAAUUUGAUACGCAUGGAAAAACUUAAAAGAGACCACUAAUUUUCCCAAAUAUUUAUAUAGAUAAAAUAUGACCUUAGUCUAAUUAUGCAAAAUCAUUUUAACAGACCUGUCCAUCCACUGCCAGCUUCCCAGUUGUUUCCUCUGCUUAUGGGUCAGCACAACUGAGAUAAAGCUGAACCCCUCACCUAGGAUGCCCUGCUUCUAAGCUGGCUGCCACCAGCAUCCCCAGUUGUAGUCCUCGUUCACCACCUUGACACCUGGCAGCUGGACACAGUGAGGUUAACCCUCCUUGGACUUACUGUGUGUAAAAGGGGGCAUAGAAAGAGUGGAUUCCAUACAGAAUUUAGUGGUGACAAAGGAAUUGUAAACUUAUUUUGCUAAGAGAGGACAUCUUCUAGGAGAUCCUGUUGUGGAAUGAAACACUGCCCAGAGAAACGAUGAGGACUCAAGAGCCAGAGCGCCUGUCUGCAGGAGCGAGGGCACAUCCGACCGUGAGGGAGUGCAGGCAGGAGGCAGAGGCGGGUCACUAGUCACCAUCAGGACAGCUCAGACAGAAGAGACGUCAGCCAGUUAGUGCAUGCUGUGGUGAGAAUGCUCGGACGUUCAGUCUGCUUAGUAUCAUCAACCUCGUGAAAAUUGCUAUUGAGUGAGAAGAGACCUAAAGAGAGGGAGUACACAGCCACCAGCCAUGGUGGCUCACAUCCAUGAUCCCAGCACUUUGGGAGGCUGAGGCAGGAGGACCACUUGAGGCCAGGAGUUUGAGACUAGCCUGGUCAACUUACCAAGACCCCCAUCUCUACAGAAAAAUGUUAAAAAAAUUAGUUAGGUGUGGUUUCACGUGCGUGUAGUCCCAGCCACUUGGGAGGCUGAGGCAGGAAGAUCAUUUGAGCCCAGGAGUUUGAGAUCAGCCUGGGUAACAUGGCAAAAUCCCAUCUGUACAAAAAAUACAAAAAAAAAAUAGCCGGGCAUGGUGGUGUGCGCCUGUGGUCCCAGCUACUCAGGACCCUGAGGUGGGAGGAUGGCUUGAGCCCAGGAGGUUGAGGCUGCAGUGAGCCAUGAUUGUGCCACUGCACUGCAGCUUGGGCGACAGAGCAAGACUCUGUCUCUAAAUAAAUAAAGAGAAGGAUUAGAAUAAGGAUCUGAAUUGUGUAGUUUCUGAAUUCAGAAACCUCGUAGUUCUGAGAACUUUGGCCACCAAUGGGUUGUGAGCUGGAAAGUUAAUGUCGCUCUUUGGCUUGGGUGUUUCCUGAAUCAAGUGAGUCCUUUAAUUGUGCUAAGGUGAGUAAGGAGCUUAGGGUGGUGCCUGGAUCACAGCCAGGCUCCCAGUAAGGGAGCCAUCCACAAGAGGAUACACAAUGCAACUGAU
Molecule: long non-coding RNA, 1703 nt
Filed under: Homo sapiens (human)
Lineage: Eukaryota; Metazoa; Chordata; Mammalia; Primates; Hominidae
Description: non-protein coding lnc-CSMD1-15:1
Source: RNAcentral